GUACUUACCUGGCAGGGGAGACACCAUGAUCGUGAGGGUAGUUUCCUUAGGGUGAGGUUUAUCCAUUGCACUCCUGAUGUGCUGACCCCUGAGAUUUCCCCAAAGGUGGGAAACUCAACUGCAUAAUCUAUGAUAAUGGGGACUGCCUUUGUGUUUUCCCUU
Molecule: small nuclear RNA, 162 nt
Organism: Cavia aperea (Brazilian guinea pig)
Lineage: Eukaryota; Metazoa; Chordata; Mammalia; Rodentia; Caviidae
Gene: U1
Rfam family: U1 spliceosomal RNA
About the family: U1 is a small nuclear RNA (snRNA) component of the spliceosome (involved in pre-mRNA splicing). Its 5' end forms complementary base pairs with the 5' splice junction, thus defining the 5' donor site of an intron.
Source: Ensembl